UCCCAAUUUUUUUUUUUUAAUCUGCGACGUCACCUAAACGACGUCGAUUUUUUUUUAUCUGCGACAUCGUCUCAGCGACGUCGCCCCGCAUAGAGGUAAACCGAGUGGUUUACCUACAUGUACAUACAUAUAUACGUAUGUACAUACAUAUAUAUAUAUAUAUAUAUACUGUAUACAUACAUAUAUACCGAGCGGUAUACCGAAAUAUAUCGCUUGGUAUACAGUACCAUCCCGUACCGAAUAAGUCUCAAAAUUUUGGUACGAUACGAAAUUUCAAUCCUUGAUUCUUUAUAUACUUGCAAGUCCUCUUAUCAUUGUUGAUAAUUACUGUUGCUCAUGAUCUUAUAUGAUCAG
RNAcentral lists this long non-coding RNA (354 nucleotides) under Musa acuminata (dwarf banana). RNAcentral's name for it is "long non-coding RNA (MACU_LNC003547)". The record is from RNAcentral. Lineage: Eukaryota; Viridiplantae; Streptophyta; Magnoliopsida; Zingiberales; Musaceae.